CCCCAAUGGUUUAUUUGCUAGAAGAGUCUUUUCCUACCAACUCUGAGCUUGAUGCAGACAGACAAGACACUUACCUGCUUUCGGUUUGAAGAUGUUCAGCUCAGAUUACCUGCAUCUAAGGACCAAAAUGUAAAUGCCAGGGCCAUUCUUCCAGCAGGAGCAGAGGCUCCGGACACUGUGUGCCAAGGCUGGUGGAGACUGACCGGGGCCCCAGGAGCUAUGCACAAGGCAGGAGAG
This is a long non-coding RNA of Gorilla gorilla gorilla (western lowland gorilla), 237 nucleotides long. RefSeq lists it as uncharacterized. The transcript has 3 exons. NCBI's taxonomy places the organism in Eukaryota, Metazoa, Chordata, Mammalia, Primates, Hominidae. The record is from RefSeq and is a predicted model, not a curated record.